This 632-nucleotide ribosomal RNA is filed under the name Acinetobacter johnsonii. RNAcentral describes it as "bacterial SSU rRNA". It matches the Rfam family "Bacterial small subunit ribosomal RNA", at positions 115 to 746 of the family's 1533-position model. Lineage: Bacteria; Pseudomonadati; Pseudomonadota; Gammaproteobacteria; Moraxellales; Moraxellaceae. The record is from RNAcentral.
GCUUAGGAAUCUGCUAUAGUGGGGACAACAUUCCGAAAGGAAUGCUAAUACCGCAUACGCCCUACGGGGGAAAGCAGGGGAUCUUCGGACCUUGCGCUAAUAGAUGAGCUAAGUCAGAUUAGCUAGUUGGUGGGGUAAAGGCCUACCAAGGCGACGAUCUGUAGCGGGUCUGAGAGGAUGAUCCGCCACACUGGGACUGAGACACGGCCCAGACUCCUACGGGAGGCAGCAGUGGGGAAUAUUGGACAAUGGGCGCAAGCCUGAUCCAGCCAUGCCGCGUGUGUGAAGAAGGCCUUUUGGUUGUAAAGCACUUUAAGCGAGGAGGAGGCUACUUGGAUUAAUACUCUAGGAUAGUGGACGUUACUCGCAGAAUAAGCACCGGCUAACUCUGUGCCAGCAGCCGCGGUAAUACAGAGGGUGCGAGCGUUAAUCGGAUUUACUGGGCGUAAAGCGUGCGUAGGCGGCUUUUUAAGUCGGAUGUGAAAUCCCUGAGCUUAACUUAGGAAUUGCAUUCGAUACUGGGAAGCUAGAGUAUGGGAGAGGAUGGUAGAAUUCCAGGUGUAGCGGUGAAAUGCGUAGAGAUCUGGAGGAAUACCGAUGGCGAAGGCAGCCAUCUGGCCUAAUACUGACGC